RNAcentral lists this ribosomal RNA (497 nucleotides) under uncultured bacterium. RNAcentral's name for it is "partial 16S ribosomal RNA". It matches the Rfam family "Bacterial small subunit ribosomal RNA", at positions 28 to 507 of the family's 1533-position model. The record is from RNAcentral.
GAUGAACGCUGGCGGCGUGCCUAAUACAUGCAAGUCGAGCGAACAGACGCGGAGCUUGCUCCUCUGACGUUAGCGGCGGACGGGUGAGUAACACGUGGAUAACCUACCUAUUAGACUGGGAUAACUUCGGGAAACCGGAGCUAAUACCGGAUAAUAUAUUGAACCGCAUGGUUCAAUAGUUAUAGACGGUUUUGCUGUCACUUAUAGAUGGAUCCGCGCCGCAUUAGCUAGUUGGUAAGGUAACGGCUUACCAAGGCACCGAUGCGUAGCCGACCUGCGAGGGUGAUCGGCCACACUGGCACUGAGACACGGUCCAGACUCCUACGGGAGGCAGCAGUAGGGAAUCUUCCGCAAUGGGCGAAAGCCUGACGGAGCAACGCCGCGUGAGUGAUGAAGGUCUUCGGAUCGUAAAACUCUGUUAUUAGGGAAGAACAAAUGUGUAAGUAACUAUGCACGUCUUGACGGUACCUAAUCAGAAAGCCACGGCUAACUACGUG